GAUUUUUUAAGUUAAUAAGACUAUUUGUUUUCAAAACAAAAUGUAACGUAAGUUAAAAAUUG
RNAcentral lists this transfer RNA (62 nucleotides) under Rhabdosynochus viridisi. Its description in RNAcentral is "tRNA-Trp". Lineage: Eukaryota; Metazoa; Platyhelminthes; Monogenea; Dactylogyridea; Diplectanidae. The record is from RNAcentral.